UGUUUAGAUAGGGAAAUGAAGAACUCAGAAAAGAGGCAGAUCCAACCCCAUUGUUUUUCAAUAACCUGAAGAAAAAGUUCUGCAAACAAGGCAGAAGGUGCAGCUCUGAGACAGCACGGUGCUGUGGAAAGACCAUGGUUUUGGGGCCCAAGAGACGGGGGUUCAGCUCCAGGUGUUCUGGGUAAUCAUCAGCAAGUGACUUAGCUUCUUUCAGCCCCAGUUGCUUCAUUUGCUUAUAAACAAGACAUACGAGUAAUGUGCAUAAAGAAUUUGGCACAAAGCAGGCCCUAAAUAAAUGUUAAGAACUGCCGAGCUAGAGACUAUAUUUCCUAGCUUCCCUUGUAGCUAGGUGUGUCCACGUGGUUAAAAGUUCUGAAUGUGAGGGGAAAUGAUUUGUGCAAUCACUGCCUCCCUUGCUGAAAAAAGUUAUUCACCUUAAACUUCCCCUGUUUCUUAUUCCUGUGGGAUAGAAACAGAUUUGGAGGUAACCCCACAUUGACCAUGCAGAUAAAGACAAUGAUGGUGCAGCAACAUCAGGAUGGAAGGGGUUGGGGCUGAUGAACGGUCCUGUGGUCAGAGCUGUCCCACCAGCUGAGAUUAGGUGGACUGUUAUGUCAGAGAGGCCUACACUAUCGUAUUAUUAGAAACAAGCUGCAAUUUGGGGUUAGUUUUUACCCUAAGUAAUACAGGAGGAUUUUAGACAUUUUUUGUUGGGAUAGUCACUGGUUUCCAGGUAGCUUCAGAAAACAGGCAUGGAGGACGUCCAGAACAAGAAAUCUGAGGCACAAACUACUGGGAGACGCAGGUGCUGAGCUCUGCCUCUUCCUGAAGAUCCUCUGUCUUGGCCUUCAAGCUUUCAUGAUUACCACACCCUCCCCAGCCUUCUCAGGUGGGUCAGUGCCAGCUCACAGUGCUGAGCCCUUCCACCAUGUGAGUAUAUGAGAGAAGUUUGCAACCUAGAAGGAGCCCUCACUCGACCACGCUGGCACUCUGAUCUUGGACUUCCAGCCUUCAGAACUGUGAGAAAUCAAUUUCUGUUGUUUAUAAGCUAUCCAGUCUGUAGUAUUUUAUUAUAGCAGCCCAAAUGGACUAAGACGGCAAGAAAAUGGAUUCUCCCUUACAGCCUGCAGAAGGAACACAGCUCUGCUGACACCUUUGUGUUAGCCCAGUGACACUCAUUUUAGACUUCUGACUCCCAAAACUAUGAGAAAAAUCUUACAAGGCAGGAAGUUAUUACUUUGAGGACGUGAGUUGGGAAUCCUCAUUCACACACAUCUAUUCAAGAAUCAUCAGUGGAGGCAGCCAUUCAUCAGGCCAUCCCACCUGGAAUAUGGGGUUUCAACAGGGAAAUAGUGGCUACUCCUCUCAAAAAAUGGAAAGCAAAUGCAUAGAAAAUGAGAAUGCCUCUCAUAUCCUGCCUGCUCCUCAGAAGUCAGAUGCUGAACAUUUUGUGAUGUUAACUAAGAGACAGAAGAAUAAGAGAACAAAUGGCAACUCUUCUUGGUGACUCCUGGACAGCGUAGAACAUCUCAGUGGUCCUUUAUGCUGCUUAGUUGGAUAACUCACUUUCUACACAUUUCUAUGUUGAUAACUCUUACAUUUAUAUUUUCAUCCUGACUGCUUACCAGAGUUUUAGUCCCAUUGUGGGACUUUGUAAAGCCCAUUGGUAUUCGUAUGUCCCAGUGUCACAUGGAGCUCAACAGACGUAGAAUUAAACUCAGUUUGGUUCCCAGUGUCUCCUGUUUGUGGUGUUUACUUCCCUCCAAAUCAAAGGCUUUGCCCAUGUCUUUCCCAGAUCUGGGUGCCUCUCUUUCUGCUGGGCUCAGGUCUCCUGUUAUUAACAGUUUCACCAUUGUCGAAGUUCUCCAGGUUCAAAGCCCUGAAGGCGUUUCUAACAGAUUGCUCUCCUUCAUGCUUCGUAAUGAGUAAGUUCUUGAAAUUUUUCCUUUAGACUGAGAGCUGUUGAUGUUAUUUCCUUUCUAUCUCAUAGUCAUCAGACAACCGCAGACACUUGUCAAGUCUUGCCUGAACUAAUGCAGCAGCUUUCUAGCAGCGUUCCUGGCCACCUCUUCCCUUUCUCAAAUUCUGCUGCUAAACGAAUACUUAUAAGACAUCUACUCCCCUGCUGAGAAGCCUGUGAAGGCUCCUGAUCUCCCAACAUUGUGCCUAAGCUCUGCUGGCUGUGUCUCCCUCGUCUUUACCAUGACUCCAGCGUCUCCUUGCUCCUUAGUCUAGCCUGUCUUUGCAUUCUCCUUGAUUGUACUUCUCAACUUCCCACUGUGGCCCUUUCUCUCCUAUUCACCUCCCCAAAUCCUAACCACUUUUCAGCCUCUUCCCUGCAAGAUUCUUUUGCUUGUUUUCAUCCACUUCGAAUUCCCUUUCCUUUGAACUCCUAAAUCACGUCUUAUCUUUAGAUUGGAUGAUCAUCUUGGCAGCUUUGGUAGAACAGAAAGAACUUUGGAUUGGAGUCAGAUAAACUUGGCUCCUGAACAGGUCUCAAUAAUGCACUCUAGACCUGGAGCCAGUCAUUUUUACCUCUCUGAGUCUUGCUUUUUUUAAAUAAAAUGGAGAUAUUAAUACAUGAGAUGGACAGUGACAACAAAUGUGAAAGUACUGGCAUGCAAUCAGAUCUUCGAUGUUAGUUGAAUUUGAUUCUUUAAAAUUAUUUUUAAACACUUUAUAUCUGUUUGUCUGUCUUCUUCGUUUGGCUCCUGGAGAGCAAGUACUGUGUUUUACAUCCCUUUCUCCCACAAAAGACCUGGGCAUUGUUAUGUAAAAAUUUGCUGCCAAA
Molecule: long non-coding RNA, 2791 nt
Organism: Equus caballus (horse)
Lineage: Eukaryota; Metazoa; Chordata; Mammalia; Perissodactyla; Equidae
Source: Ensembl